Molecule: small nuclear RNA, 106 nt
Organism: Manis pentadactyla (Chinese pangolin)
Lineage: Eukaryota; Metazoa; Chordata; Mammalia; Pholidota; Manidae
Source: RefSeq, a predicted model, not a curated record
GUGCUUGUUUUGGCAGCACAUGUACUAAAAUUGGAUGAUACAGAGAAGAUUAGCAUGACCCCUGCACAAGGAUGACAUGCAGAUUCCUGAAGUAUUCCAUAUUGUU